This is a non-coding RNA of Salmo salar (Atlantic salmon), 54 nucleotides long. The record is from Rfam. Lineage: Eukaryota; Metazoa; Chordata; Actinopteri; Salmoniformes; Salmonidae.
UGCAUUCACUACUGUAAGUCGGUUUGGAUAAGAGCGUCUGCUAAAUGACUAAAA